RNAcentral lists this ribosomal RNA (292 nucleotides) under uncultured bacterium. RNAcentral's name for it is "partial 16S ribosomal RNA". It matches the Rfam family "Archaeal small subunit ribosomal RNA", at positions 455 to 746 of the family's 1478-position model. The record is from RNAcentral.
GUGCCAGCCGCCGCGGUAAUACCGGCAGCUCAAGUGAUGACCGAUUUUAUUGGGCCUAAAGCGUUCGUAGCCGGCCGGGCAAGUUCGUCGGGAAAUCUACCAGCUCAACUGGUAGGCGUCCGGCGAAAACUGCACGGCUUGGGACAGGGAGACUCGAAGGGUACGUCCGGGGUAGGAGUGAAAUCCUGUAAUCCUGGACGGACCUCCGAUGGCGAAAGCACUUCGAGAGAACUGAUCCGACGGUCAGGAACGAAAGCUGGGGUCUCGAACCGGAUUAGAAACCCCGGUAGCC